RNAcentral lists this ribosomal RNA (548 nucleotides) under uncultured Glomerales. Its description in RNAcentral is "SSU rRNA". It matches the Rfam family "Eukaryotic small subunit ribosomal RNA", at positions 548 to 1098 of the family's 1831-position model. Lineage: Eukaryota; Fungi; Glomeromycota; Glomeromycetes; Glomerales; Glomeraceae. The record is from RNAcentral.
UUGGAGGGCAAGUCUGGUGCCAGCAGCCGCGGUAAUUCCAGCUCCAAUAGCGUAUAUUAAAGUUGUUGCAGUUAAAAAGCUCGUAGUUGAAUUUCGGGGUCAGUAGGUUGGUCAUGCCACUGGUAUGUACUGGCCUCACUGAUUCCUCCUUCCUGAUGAGCCGUAAUGCCAUUAAUUUGGUGUUGCGAGGAAUCUGGACUGUUACUUUGAAAAAUUAGAGUGUUUAAAGCAGGCUAACGCUUGAAUACAUUAGCAUGGAAUAAUGAAAUAGGACGUUCGAUCUUAUUUUGUUGGUUUCUAAGAUUGACGUAAUGAUUAAUAGGGAUAGUUGGGGGCAUUAGUAUUCAAUUGUCAGAGGUGAAAUUCUUGGAUUUAUUGAAGACUAACUACUGCGAAAGCAUUUGCCAAGGAUGUUUUCAUUAAUCAAGAACGAAAGUUAGGGGAUCGAAGACGAUCAGAUACCGUCGUAGUCUUAACCAUAAACUAUGCCGACUAGGGAUCGGAUGAUGUUAAUUUUUUAAUGACUCAUUCGGCGCCUUACGGGAAAC